This 1434-nucleotide ribosomal RNA is filed under the name uncultured organism. RNAcentral describes it as "SSU rRNA". It matches the Rfam family "Bacterial small subunit ribosomal RNA". The record is from RNAcentral.
CUAGCUACAGGCUUAACACAUGCAAGUCGAGGGUCAGCAUGGUCUUAGCUUGCUAAGGCCGAUGGCGACCGGCGCACGGGUGAGUAACGCGUAUCCAACCUGCCUUACACUCUUGGACAGCCUUCUGAAAGGGAGAUUAAUACAAGAUGUUAUCAUGAGUAAGCAUUUUCACAUGAUUAAAGGUUUACCGGUGUAAGAUGGGGAUGCGUUCCAUUAGAUAGUAGGCGGGGUAACGGCCCACCUAGUCUUCGAUGGAUAGGGGUUCUGAGAGGAAGGUCCCCCACAUUGGAACUGAGACACGGUCCAAACUCCUACGGGAGGCAGCAGUGAGGAAUAUUGGUCAAUGGACGAGAGUCUGAACCAGCCAAGUAGCGUGAAGGAUGAAGGUUCUAUGGAUUGUAAACUUCUUUUAUACGGGAAUAAACGGAUCCACGUGUGGAUUUUUGCAUGUACCGUAUGAAUAAGGAUCGGCUAACUCCGUGCCAGCAGCCGCGGUAAUACGGAGGAUCCGAGCGUUAUCCGGAUUUAUUGGGUUUAAAGGGAGCGUAGAUGGGUUGUUAAGUCAGUUGUGAAAGUUUGCGGCUCAACCGUAAAAUUGCAAUUGAUACUGGCAGUCUUGAGUACAGUUGAGGUAGGCGGAAUUCGUGGUGUAGCGGUGAAAUGCUUAGAUAUCACGAAGAACUCCGAUUGCGAAGGCAGCUUACUAACCUGUAACUGACAUUGAUGCUCGAAAGUGUGGGUAUCAAACAGGAUUAGAUACCCUGGUAGUCCACACGGUAAACGAUGAAUACUCGCUGUAGGCGAUAUACAGUCUGCGGCCAAGCGAAAGCAUUAAGUAUUCCACCUGGGGAGUACGCCGGCAACGGUGAAACUCAAAGGAAUUGACGGGGGCCCGCACAAGCGGAGGAACAUGUGGUUUAAUUCGAUGAUACGCGAGGAACCUUAUCCGGGCUUAAAUUGCAACCGAAUAUGGCGGAAACGCUAUAGCUAGCAAUAGCGGUUGUGAAGGUGCUGCAUGGUUGUCGUCAGCUCGUGCCGUGAGGUGUCGGCUUAAGUGCCAUAACGAGCGCAACCCUUGCCGAUAGUUACUAACAGGUCAUGCUGAGGACUCUGUCGGGACUGCCAUCGUAAGAUGUGAGGAAGGUGGGGAUGACGUCAAAUCAGCACGGCCCUUACGUCCGGGGCUACACACGUGUUACAAUGGGGGGUACAGAGGGCUGCUACCACGCAAGUGGAUGCCAAUCCCAAAAACCUCUCUCAGUUCGGAUUGAAGUCUGCAACCCGACUUCAUGAAGCUGGAUUCGCUAGUAAUCGCGCAUCAGCCACGGCGCGGUGAAUACGUUCCCGGGCCUUGUACACACCGCCCGUCAAGCCAUGGGAGCCGGGGGUACCUGAAGUGCGUAACCGCAAGGAGCGCCCUAGGGUAAAACUGGA